AGUGAACGCUGGCGGUAGGCCUAACACAUGCAAGUCGAACGGCAGCACAGUAAGAGCUUGCUCUUACGGGUGGCGAGUGGCGGACGGGUGAGGAAUACAUCGGAAUCUACUUUUUCGUGGGGGAUAACGUAGGGAAACUUACGCUAAUACCGCAUACGACCUACGGGUGAAAGCAGGGGAUCUUCGGACCUUGCGCGAUUGAAUGAGCCGAUGUCGGAUUAGCUAGUUGGCGGGGUAAAGGCCCACCAAGGCGACGAUCCGUAGCUGGUCUGAGAGGAUGAUCAGCCACACUGGAACUGGGACACGGUCCAGACUCUUACGGGAGGCAGCAGUGGGGAAUAUUGGACAAUGGGCGCAAGCCUGAUGCAGCCAUAGCGCGGGGGUGAAGAAGGCCUUCGGGUUGUAAAGCCCUUUUGUUGGGAAAGAAAAGCAGCAGGUUAAUACCCCGCUGUUCUGACGGUACCCAAAGAAUAAGCACCGGCUAACUUCGUG
RNAcentral lists this ribosomal RNA (492 nucleotides) under uncultured bacterium. RNAcentral's name for it is "partial 16S ribosomal RNA". It matches the Rfam family "Bacterial small subunit ribosomal RNA", at positions 29 to 507 of the family's 1533-position model. The record is from RNAcentral.